GAUGAACGCUGGCGGCGUGCCUAAUACAUGCAAGUCGAGCGAACGGACGAGAAGCUUGCUUCUCUGAUGUUAGCGGCGGACGGGUGAGUAACACGUGGAUAACCUACCUAUAAGACUGGGAUAACUUCGGGAAACCGGAGCUAAUACCGGAUAAUAUUUUGAACCGCAUGGUUCAAAAGUGAAAGACGGUCUUGCUGUCACUUAUAGAUGGAUCCGCGCUGCAUUAGCUAGUUGGUAAGGUAACGGCUUACCAAGGCAACGAUGCAUAGCCGACCUGAGAGGGUGAUCGGCCACACUGGAACUGAGACACGGUCCAGACUCCUACGGGAGGCAGCAGUAGGGAAUCUUCCACAAUGGGCGAAAGCCUGACGGAGCAACGCCGCGUGAGUGAUGAAGGUCUUCGGAUCGUAAAACUCUGUUAUUAGGGAAGAACAUAUGUGUGAGUAACUGUGCACAUCUUGACGGUACCUAAUCAGAAAGCCACGGCUAACUACGUG
RNAcentral lists this ribosomal RNA (497 nucleotides) under uncultured bacterium. RNAcentral's name for it is "partial 16S ribosomal RNA". It matches the Rfam family "Bacterial small subunit ribosomal RNA", at positions 28 to 507 of the family's 1533-position model. The record is from RNAcentral.